GACGGGCCCGCACAAGCAGCGGAGCGUGUGGUUUAAUUCGAUGCUGCACGAGAACCUUACCAGGGUUUGACAUACAAGUAGUAGGGAAGGAAACUGGACGACCUUCGGGAGCUUGUACAGGUGCUGCAUGGCUGUCGUCAGCUCGUGUCGUGAGAUGUUCGGUUAAGUCCGCUAACGAGCGCAACCCUCGCUGUGUGUUACAAGUGUCACACGGAACUGCCGGUCAUAAACCGGAGGAAGGUGGGGAUGACGUCAAGUCAGCAUGGCCUUUAUAUCCUGGGCUACACACACGCUACAAUGGGAAGGGACAAUAGGUUGCGAAGCCGCGAGGCGGAGCCAAUCCAGCAAAACUUCCCUCAGUUCAGAUUGCAGGCUGCAACUCGCCUGCAUGAAGUUGGAGUUGCUAGUAAACGCAGGUCAGCCAUACUGCGUUGAAUACGUUCCCGGGGCUU
Molecule: ribosomal RNA, 452 nt
Filed under: uncultured Anaerolineaceae bacterium
Lineage: Bacteria; Bacillati; Chloroflexota; Anaerolineae; Anaerolineales; Anaerolineaceae
Description: bacterial SSU rRNA
Rfam family: Bacterial small subunit ribosomal RNA
Source: RNAcentral